UGGGGAAUAUUGGACAAUGGGCGAAAGCCUGAUCCAGCCAUGCCGCGUGUGUGAAGAAGGCCUUUUGGUUGUAAAGCACUUUAAGUGGGGAGGAAAAGCUUAUGGUUAAUACCCAUAAGCCCUGACGUUACCCACAGAAUAAGCACCGGCUAACUCUGUGCCAGCAGCCGCGGUAAUACAGAGGGUGCAAGCGUUAAUCGGAAUUACUGGGCGUAAAGCGCGCGUAGGUGGUUAUUUAAGUCAGAUGUGAAAGCCCCGGGCUUAACCUGGGAACUGCAUCUGAUACUGGAUAACUAGAGUAGGUGAGAGGGGAGUAGAAUUCCAGGUGUAGCGGUGAAAUGCGUAGAGAUCUGGAGGAAUACCGAUGGCGAAGGCGGCUCCCUGGCAUCAUACUGACACUGAGGUGCGAAAGCGUGGGUAGCAAACAGGAUUAGAUACCCUGGUAGUCCACGCCGUAAACGAUGUCUACCAGUCGUUGGGUCUUUUAAAGACUUAGUGACGCAGUUAACGCAAUAAGUAGACCGCCUGGGGAGUACGGCCGCAAGGUUA
RNAcentral lists this ribosomal RNA (549 nucleotides) under uncultured bacterium. RNAcentral's name for it is "bacterial SSU rRNA". It matches the Rfam family "Bacterial small subunit ribosomal RNA", at positions 355 to 896 of the family's 1533-position model. The record is from RNAcentral.